UCUGGAUAUUUUCCAUGUCAACUGAUUCCCUCAACGAGAAGCAGGUCGUCUGAAAUGUGGGAAAUUCCUCUUUGCACGGUUAAAUGUAAGCACCGUUGAUGUAACUGGAUUGUCUGCACAAGUUAACACUCGGCCAUUCACCCAUCAGCGAAUUUAAACAACAAGCAAACCACAAUAAAUCUCUGAUUUCUUCACACUGUCACCCUCCUCUGUUCCCAAUCCGGUACCAGGGGAGUGCGUCACUUUCAAAAGGGUUGACUCCCAGGCAGAAGAUACAGGAGCCUGAGGGCACGUACCACCAGGCUCAAGGACAGCUUCUACCCCACGGUGAUAAGACCAUUGAAUGGUUCCCUUAUACGAUGAGAUGGACUCUGACCUCACGAUCUACCUUGUUGUGACCUUGCACCUUAUUGUCUACCUGCAAUGCACUUCCCUGUAGCUGUGACACUCUGUAUUCUGCUAUUGUUUUUACCCUGUACUACCUGAAUGCACUGUGUAAUGAA
Pristis pectinata (smalltooth sawfish) is the source of this 503-nucleotide long non-coding RNA. RefSeq lists it as uncharacterized. The transcript is spliced from 4 exons. NCBI's taxonomy places the organism in Eukaryota, Metazoa, Chordata, Chondrichthyes, Rhinopristiformes, Pristidae. The record is from RefSeq and is a predicted model, not a curated record.